CUUUGGCCGAUCACUGCCUUCUGGGCCUGUGUCUUAGGCUCUGCAAGAUCAAACCGAGCAAAGCACACGGCCUGCAGAGAGGCAGCGCUCUGCCC
Molecule: microRNA precursor, 95 nt
Filed under: Macaca nemestrina (pig-tailed macaque)
Lineage: Eukaryota; Metazoa; Chordata; Mammalia; Primates; Cercopithecidae
Description: miRNA (ENSMNEG00000002480.1)
Rfam family: mir-330 microRNA precursor family
Source: Rfam by way of RNAcentral